Molecule: long non-coding RNA, 3756 nt
Organism: Taeniopygia guttata (zebra finch)
Lineage: Eukaryota; Metazoa; Chordata; Aves; Passeriformes; Estrildidae
Source: RefSeq, a predicted model, not a curated record
GCCCGUGCUGGAGAUCUCCUCGCUGCUCUCCGAUAAGUGCCCACAGUCCAUCGGUGACGUGCCCGGCACGGAGGGCCCUGCAAGCGACAGGAGAUGCUGCGGUGGGCUGGAGCCAGCAGCCCUGUUCUGAAAACAAGAUGUUUCCUGAAAUUGAUAUUCAGUAAGCAAACAAGAAUUUUUGCUUCAUCCAGAGAAAGGCAGCUAUUUUUAAUCAGAACAAAUAAUCAGAAGAAACAAAACUCAUAGAAUGGAAAGUGAGUGACUGGAUUGAAGAGGAAAUGUGAAAUAAGGUCUUCUACAGUCAACUGCAGAAAACAAAAAGAAAAAAGGAUUAAUUCAAUAUCCCAAGUCAAACCAUAUGUAUUUAAUAUUCUGUGUGACUGAUUACACUUUCCAAUAUAUCUCGUUAUAGAAAACAGUGUAUUGAACCUUAAGGUAAAAUACCUCAAAUUUGAUAAUUGAGAAUGCAAAACCUUGAAUGGAGUUAUGGAAGGUGCUGCAAACACUGAUGAAGGUUUUAGAAAAUACUAAAUGCAUGUCAUCUGACUGCAAUUUCUUAAAUAUUAAAACAGGUAUUCCCAGUCAGGUAGAGUUAUUUGAAAAUGAAUAGAGUUAUUUGAAAAUGAAUAAAAUUCAAUUACAUAGCACCUUCUUACAUCAGUAGUUAUUCAGAAGACCAUUUCAAAACCAUUGCCAUUUACAUAUGGCUUCCAAACAAUGUGUAGAUUCCAACUAUUUUAGGGCUGGUGCAGGUAGGCAGAGCAUCAGCCUUCAUGUCUUCAAAAAUAACAUAUUAAUUAAUCUUCUGAAAGCAACAGUGUAAGUGCACCCAAUUUUAUUUUAUAAAUAUAGUAAUUCGAACACUUUUGAAUAAUUUCAAGUUGGAUGUCUGGAUCCAAGUCCUGCAAGAUGGCAAGACAUGCUGUUAUGUCAUUUAUAUUUUAAUCAGCAGUCAGCUCUGUAACAAGCACCACCUUCCCACCAUUUUAAAAAAACUUCAAAGUUGUAUUUCAGGUUUUGCUUGAGUUUCAAAACUAAUUUGUUUUCCCAUUUGAAGAACAGGUUGCCUUUAAACCUCAAAAAGGGCUUAAGGCUUUUUUACCUCCCAGACAUUUUUUUUUUAUUCACAAGUUUAAAACUUGGACUUCUGCUAGACAUGUAUCUUGCAAAGGCCUUUAAAAGGACUGACAAUAUACAGAGAUCAAACAAGUAUCAACAAAUAGAUUUUAAAAGUCUGAUGUAUUUCGUGCAUAUUUAUUCUAGAAUGCCCAACAUUUUUAGAAUAUGGAAGUAAAUGUGAAUAUUUACACAAUCAAAAUGCACUAGCUACUCCUUUCCAUAAUUCUGGGAGAUUGGGAUGUGAGGAAAAAAAAGGAUAUAUGAACUAGUGCUAAAAUUAAAUUUUAUAUUUGAAAAGCUCAAUUUCCACUCAAGUCUUUUGGACUCAUCACUGGUACAAGUGUCUUCUUAUAUAAUUCUUAAUAUAUUUAGUUUUAGAUUUAAUUUUAUGAUUUCUGUAAGUUUUAAAUAAGGAUUGAUUAGUUUGCUUAUAAAAUUCUACAUAGGCUGCAUGUUCAUCAGUCAUUCUUUCAUUACUUUUGUUCCUGGCAAGUCUGGAGGCUUUCCAAUUCCUUAAGAAACAUCUUUUCAUUUCUUGAAUUUCUUUCCCAUCCAGAAAUUCUGCAAAAGAGAACACUUUCUGUGAUACAAAGUGAACUAAAGGGCUAUACAAAGUUGUAGGUAAUGUGUAUUGGUUCUAUAUUAAUCCUCUUCAAGUCUUUUUUUCUUUUUCAAGUAUUUUGGUAAAGAAAAUAAUACCCAGUAAAGACUGAUAAUCAAAUUCAAGCUGCAAGAGAGAGUUAACAUGCCUUAAUUACAAAAAAAAAAACCUACAGCUUUUAUAAAUUUCCAGGGAAAUAUACAUAUUUUACAUUUGGUUAAAAUGCAAGACUUUCUAUAACAUUCUGCAGAAAAGUUAUGCUCUUACACAGGGCAUAGAUAGAUGCAGAAAUCCAGGUGGAGAGGGAAACUGCAUGUCUUAGCAAUCAUGGAAUUCCACUGAUCAUAGAGACAGUCAGAGAGAUUUGCCUCUCUAAGGUUAACUGUACUCACUUAGGUGCCAUAAACCUUAUGCUCUAUGAUUCAUUGGUUGCAUCUGUAUUUUUGAGCCAGCCCAAAUGAAAUACCUCAUGUGGCCACAAAUUUAGGUUGAAUUAGAACUGUCCUAAAGCACUAUUAUUUUCAUUGUGCAGAUAGGCUUUUUCUAAAUGGCCAGUAUUUCAUGCUCUGAGAAAAAACAAGUUCUGUAAUUAUAACUUUAAAAUAAAUGCCACCUUUAUCCAAAAAAGUAAAAAAUUAGCAGAUUUUUAAACUUAUUUCUACAGUAUAAAUAUUUAGAUACAGAAGAAUCAGUUUCUUCCUUUCAUGGUAAAAUUUUAUGCAAAAUAACAAUAUAAACUGCACCAUAAGGGCUAAGAUUAAUAAAUACAUGCACAACAUAAAGUGUGAACUGCUUAUAAUGAUAUUGAGUGGAAGGAUGAAUGUUAUAUGACAAAUUCAAACACAGUAAGAUGAGAUCUGCACAACUACCACUGUACAAUCAAAACACUUCAGCAACUACUAUAAAUUGAUAGGGGAACAGAUGAAACAGAUCUUUGAAAAUCAGUUUCACAACAUCUGGAAUAUGAACACAAAAACUGUCUUGUAACAAUCUCACCAAUCAUCUAUUAUAAAACAAAUAAUUACUACUACUAAUACCAAAAGCCAAACAAGAUGGCUUGUGAAGCUGAUUACAUAAGCAGUUUUAGCUUUCUACAUAAAUUAAAAAUUCAUGAUUUGAUAUAAAUAUCUAUAGCUGUGUUUACAUGCAUAGCACUACUCAAGAACAAUUAAUUUUUCAGUUGUUUCCUAAAAGAGUGGGGGUUAUGGGUGGGCUAUUGAUUUAAUUUUUUACCUAAAGUCAGUGAAUGUAAUAUAAUCCAAUCCUUGUACUUUGGUUGUUGGCAGAUGGGGUUUCCUGUAAGAUCUAUUCUGCAUAGCUUUGUCCAUUUUUUUAAUACAACCUCCAAAUCCUGCAAUUGAAACAACAACAGAACAUAGUGAUUAUGUUUUUCCCUCCAGAGUAAAAUUCAACAGUAAUGUGAUUUGUUCAACCAGGCACAAAUUCUGCACACAGAAAAAACUUCAAUGAGACUACUCUCAUGUAUUAUGCACAUUAAGAAUGUGCAUUUUCAAACAGAGUGGUCCACAGCAUCCCCUGAAUAUAUCAAAAUUGCACAGAAGAAACAAUGAUGCUGGAAUACGCUGCAUUUUUAAGGAUACAGUAAUGCCAGCUAUCAAAAUGACCACUUCAAUCCCACUGAUAAGCACCCAAAGCCUAGGAACUACCAAUGAAAAAAUUCCUAUUGUACACAAUGUCUGUUAAUGCCUCCCCGAGGUCUUACAGAGCCCUUAAGAGUACCAGCAUGUGGAAGAACAAUUACUUUAUACAGAUAAAGUACAGACUAAAAAAAAUAAGCUAAAAAUCAUGCAAGCCACAGUGAACUGCCUCUCUCUAUAUAUGUAGAACUGUAUUUUACAGAAGAAACAGUAAUCCCCCUCUACCUAACUGUGGGUGGUCAGUUACAGUAUUGGCCUACAGUGAAAUUAGUGAAAUAUACCUUUCCCCAUCUCCGUUUCUGUCUGGUUACCCAGGGGCAGUAUGACCUAGAUGAAACUACUCUGUCUUUCAAAUACAAUAAAUUCAAGUUGAAAACA